Molecule: ribosomal RNA, 305 nt
Filed under: uncultured bacterium
Lineage: Bacteria
Description: bacterial SSU rRNA
Rfam family: Bacterial small subunit ribosomal RNA
Source: RNAcentral
UGUACCUACGGGACGCAGCAGUCGGGCCUUUUCGUCCCUGUUCGCACGCCUGAACGAGCGAUGCCGCGUGAGUGAAGAAGGCCUUCAGGUCGUAAAGCUCUGUUGCGGGGGAAAAAAGGCAGCAUCAGGAAAUGGGUGCUGACUGAUGGUGCCCCGCCAGAAAGUCACGACUAACUACGUGCCAGCAGCCGCGGUAAUACGUAGGUGGCGAGCGUUAUCCGGAAUGAUUGGGCGUAAAGGGUGCGCAGGCGGUCCUGCAAGUCUGGAGUGAAACGCAUGAGCUCAACUCAUGCAUGGCUUUGGAA